Molecule: ribosomal RNA, 511 nt
Filed under: uncultured bacterium
Lineage: Bacteria
Description: bacterial SSU rRNA
Rfam family: Bacterial small subunit ribosomal RNA
Source: RNAcentral
UUAGGGUUUGAUUCUGGCUCAGGAUGAACGCUAGCGGCAGGCUUAACACAUGCAAGUCGAGGGGUAACAGGAAAAAGCUUGCUUUUUAGCUGACGACCGGCGCACGGGUGCGUAACGCGUAUAGAAUCUACCUUUUACUAAGGGAUAGCCUUUAGAAAUGAAGAUUAAUACCUUAUAGUAUUGCAAAUUGGCAUCAAUUUGUAAUUAAAGAUUUAUUGGUAAAAGAUGACUAUGCGUUCUAUUAGUUAGUUGGUGAGGUAACGGCUCACCAAGACAGCGAUAGAUAGGGGUCCUGAGAGGGAGAUCCCCCACACUGGUACUGAGACACGGACCAGACUCCUACGGGAGGCAGCAGUGAGGAAUAUUGGGCAAUGGAGGCAACUCUGACCCAGCCAUGCCGCGUGCAGGAAGACGGCCCUAUGGGUUGUAAACUGCUUUUAUACAGGAAGAAACACUCCCUCGUGAGGGAGCUUGACGGUACUGUAAGAAUAAGCACCGGCUAACUCCGUGC